CUAUAAGAUUAUCUAAAAUUCCUGUUGGCUUACUAUAGCCUUCCUCAGGCUAGUACCCAUCGUCUAUGUUUGGAUUACAAAUCUUCACAUUUUCUAUAGCCAGUUCUGGGAGUUGUGGCUCCUAGACAUUUUAGAGCAUCAGGUUUUUCUCACACAUUUUGUGGUUCUUGUCUUUUGCAUGGAACAUGUAAUCAGAAGAAUCAGAGGGUGAAGCAACUGAGGAGAAAAGAUUGUAUAGCCAACCCCACAGUGCUUCUACAACACAGGCUGAAAAUGGCUUCAUCUUGAAGAGAGAAAUUAGAAGCACUUUGCACAAGAGUGUUCAUGGUGUCUCCAGUACAGUACAGAAAGAAUUUGCAUACUUUAAGUGAACCUGGAAAAGAAGACAUGGCUGAUUUAAAGAACUGACUCAUCAAAGUGAUUCUUAAAGCUUCAGCAUCUUUCAUACUCAUGUGAAAACUUGAAAAAAAGGGCAAGGCUGCCUCAGUGGAUAGAAGAAAGAGCUAUAAUUGUAGUCACAUGAUCUAAAGCACUUCUGAAUCAAUUUCAAACAAGGCAGAGCCCAAAAUUUGAAUUAGUCCUAAGCAACUACCCUCAGUGGCUACUAUGCACAAGUCAAUCCCAGGUGAUUUAAAGUCCAUCUUCUACUGAA
Long non-coding RNA from Pantherophis guttatus, 652 nucleotides. RefSeq lists it as uncharacterized. Lineage: Eukaryota; Metazoa; Chordata; Lepidosauria; Squamata; Colubridae. The record is from RefSeq and is a predicted model, not a curated record.